AGAGACUUUUUUUAAUUUGAGUGGUGGAAAUAUUAAGAAAUAUUUACUAGAUAGAGUAGAAUUCUUUAUUUUAUUAUUAUUUAUAAAUUAGGUUAGAUUCCUAAUUAGAUUAAGACCCAGGGGCUAACAAUAUAAAUAGGAGUACAGUAAAAAGACUCUUUGACUUUUGCCUAUAGAGAGGCUUCCGCUCAUCGCAGAAAAAGG
This 204-nucleotide unclassified non-coding RNA is filed under the name Hevea brasiliensis (rubber tree). Lineage: Eukaryota; Viridiplantae; Streptophyta; Magnoliopsida; Malpighiales; Euphorbiaceae. The record is from RNAcentral.